RNAcentral lists this ribosomal RNA (429 nucleotides) under Gemmatimonadota bacterium. RNAcentral's name for it is "Gemmatimonadetes bacterium partial 16S ribosomal RNA". It matches the Rfam family "Bacterial small subunit ribosomal RNA", at positions 355 to 776 of the family's 1533-position model. Lineage: Bacteria; Pseudomonadati; Gemmatimonadota. The record is from RNAcentral.
UAGGGAAUCUUCGGCAAUGGACGAAAGUCUGACCGAGCAACGCCGCGUGAGUGAAGAAGGUUUUCGGAUCGUAAAACUCUGUUGUUAGAGAAGAACAAGGACGUUAGUAACUGAACGUCCCCUGACGGUAUCUAACCAGAAAGCCACGGCUAACUACGUGCCAGCAGCCGCGGUAAUACGUAGGUGGCAAGCGUUGUCCGGAUUUAUUGGGCGUAAAGCGAGCGCAGGCGGUUUCUUAAGUCUGAUGUGAAAGCCCCCGGCUCAACCGGGGAGGGUCAUUGGAAACUGGGAGACUUGAGUGCAGAAGAGGAGAAUGGAAUUCCAUGUGUAGCGGUGAAAUGCGUAGGUAUAUGGAGGAACGCCAGUGGCGAAGGCGGCUCUCUGGUCUGUAACUGACGGUGAGGCUCGAAGGCGUGGGGAGCAAACAAG